Molecule: unclassified non-coding RNA, 472 nt
Filed under: rhizosphere metagenome
Description: partial ribosomal RNA internal transcribed spacer region
Source: RNAcentral
GUAGGUGGCAAGUUUGCCUCCGGGAGCCCUCGCAGCGACUCUAAAGAAUUGCUCCAGUCGGUCCCCCCGCGAGGGCACCGGCGACGCCGUCAUUCUGCGCUGGAAGGCCCCCGUCGGGCCCGACCAGAAGCUCCGUAGCGAGUCCACAGAUCAAACGACAGCGGCCGCCCCGAGGGUGGUUUAGAUAUGACCGGCCCCAGCCUUCGUCGGCUGGCGACAUCGCGGAACCUGCGGAAGGAUCAUUAAUGAGAGGGGCCUCCGGGCUCCGGGGGCUUCGGCCCCCAACUCUUCACCCUGUGUCUACAUACCUUUGUUGCUUUGGCGGGCCUUGGGGUUUGCCCCAUUCCGGCCCCGGGCUUCUCCGUCCGGGCUGGCUCGUGCCCGUCAGAGGCCCAUCAAACUCCCUUUUAUCAGUGUCGUCCGAGCAAAAACACAAUAGUAAAAACUUUCAACAACGGAUCUCUUGGUUCUG